Sander lucioperca (pikeperch) is the source of this 133-nucleotide long non-coding RNA. RefSeq lists it as uncharacterized. The record is from RefSeq and is a predicted model, not a curated record. The transcript is spliced from 3 exons. NCBI's taxonomy places the organism in Eukaryota, Metazoa, Chordata, Actinopteri, Perciformes, Percidae.
UCAACCUUUUUUUACAUCAAAAAUAUGGGUUCAUUUCAACAAAAUUGCCCAAAAAUAACAUGGAUGCAUGGGUGUACGUUGUAUGGAAAGCCAUUCAACAUUCUUCGCAGGUAAAAUGAAUGAUUACUUUCAU